GCAUAGUUACAUUACAUUUUCAUUCUAGAGUUAGUUCGAAUGUUGACAUCUGCGAAAAUUACAGAAUUAUGAUGUGGGAGUUUUAAGUGCUGUGGAAGCCUUGUGCUUAACGGGGCAAGUUUGUCUAAACCUGCAUUGUGGCUCCUAGGCAAGGGUGCCCUGACUUUGUUUAGCUUGGGCCUGCCCAAAUGGGUCUCUUCAUUUUUUUUGUCCCUUCAAAAAAGUGAACCAAUCAAAAUUUAGAAACUGUUUAACGAGCCUCUUGGAUGUAUUGCACCUUGCAUUUUUUGCACAGCCUGUUCCAGGAGAAAAGUUCUUGCCGUGCCUGGUCCAUAGGCAGUCUGUGUUGAGUUUGUUUUAUACUUCCAUGAAUGUCACAGGACUUGCAAUUUCUCAACAGCCUGGCCCUGGAGAAAAGUUCAGGCACCUGAAGAAGCUCCCAUUUACAUAAGCGAUGUAGUAGAGCUAGAAGAUGGAGAGAGAGAGAGAGAGAGACCAAAAUUAAUAUGGCGUGUUUGGUUACUAAGUGUUUGAUUUCCUUGGUACAUGUAGCAAUGGAUUCUAAGAACUGGAGAAAAAAGCCUUCAUGUAGCAGACUUAAAAUUUAUGGAGAAUAAAAUUUAGUAACAUGCACUUGUACGGUAAUGAAAAAAUAAUUAUAAGGCUUUCUUAUUUCUUGCAUAUGUACAAUAUCUUCACUGAUCUCAACUUUCUCUGAGUUUCUUCCUUUUUAAAUAAAUUGGUCUAAACUGCUCGAGCCAAUGCUAUUUUAUGUUUCUAUUGGCAGUAGAACGAAACAGGCAGCACAUAGGUUGAAAAUUAUAUUUGUUUUACUGGUUUAAAAGCGGCUGAACUUCAUGGAAAUCUAACCCAGGCCCAGUGUCUAGAUGUAAGUCCUCAGCAUCAACGUUUUCAACUACAGAAUUCUGUUCUUUUUGCCAAGCGUGCUUUCUUAUUCACUUUCUGUUGCAUAGGCCUUGAAACUUUUCAGGAAGCAGGAAAUAGAUAUUCUUGACUGCGACAGAUGCUGCUGCUUGUGUAAGAAGAAAUAAUCUCAGUUUGUUUUGCUUAGUUAAUG
RNAcentral lists this long non-coding RNA (1078 nucleotides) under Olea europaea subsp. europaea. The record is from RNAcentral. Lineage: Eukaryota; Viridiplantae; Streptophyta; Magnoliopsida; Lamiales; Oleaceae.